ACACGGAGGGCGCAAGCGUUGCUCGGAAUCACUGGGCGUAAAGCGGGUGUAGGCGGUCUAGCAAGUCAGAUGUGAAAGCCCACGGCUCAACCGUGGAAGUGCAUCUGAAACUGCUAGACUUGAGUGCCGGAGAGGGAAGUGGAAUUCCUGGUGUAGGGGUGAAAUCCGUAGAUAUCAGGAGGAACACCGGUGGCGAAGGCGACUUCCUGGACGGCCACUGACGCUGCGACCCGAAAGCGUGGGGAGCAAACAGGAUUAGAAACCCUAGUAGUCC
RNAcentral lists this ribosomal RNA (274 nucleotides) under uncultured bacterium. RNAcentral's name for it is "partial 16S ribosomal RNA". It matches the Rfam family "Bacterial small subunit ribosomal RNA", at positions 523 to 796 of the family's 1533-position model. The record is from RNAcentral.